This 902-nucleotide long non-coding RNA is filed under the name Homo sapiens (human). RNAcentral's name for it is "HSALNT0231563". The record is from RNAcentral. Lineage: Eukaryota; Metazoa; Chordata; Mammalia; Primates; Hominidae.
GGUCAGGAGUGAUUUGAGGAGGGGGUGAGCAGGAAGAAGGGAACAUGUCUUCAUAAUUAUUCCCUGCCUCAAUUUCCAUCAGAUAUGGGGAUCCAGGCAAUCCAGGAAAGAGAUUUAAUGACAUCACCUUGGCCAACAUUCAGGAAUUCAGAACUCUAAGUUACCCUGAACUAUCUAAAAACGAAAAUGGAAAGAUAAUUCUGCUUCAUGUCUGGUGUACUCCAACUGUGGAUAAGGUGCCCUUCAGGGCCUUAAAGGACAGGAACAAAGUAUGGCAGUUUGUCAUCAGAGCUCCAGGAAGCCACGAGGAAACUGAGCUUAGGAACCAAAUUGCUCAAAAUGGGAAAGAAAUGAAGAGAUGUACAGCAGAUGCUCUCAGCCUGGAAGUGUAACCUUCGGGAAGAAGGAACCACCAGUCAUGCUAAUUGGUCUUGAACAAGGCUUGUUUGCGCUGAGAGAUGAGAGAGAGCACCCCAUUUCUUCCUGAUUCAGUUCUGUAGACAUCUUUCUGGGAUUUGCAAUUGAUAAUUAUAGACACAGAGAUACACUUGGCCUAAUUUGCCAGCCUAUUUGGAGUCAUGAGUGUCACCCUGUAUGUCUGGUAUAUGUGCAGAUGGUUUCUGGCGGCUUCAAUAAAAUCAGAAAACACAAAAUCUCUAUUUUUUUUUUCCAGACAAUUGAAAGGGGCUGGUUGUCAGUGUCCUGGGUGUUGAAAUGAAAAAUAUUAUGCUGAUUUUUUAGAAGUGUUCCUUAUGCUUAUAGACCCAUAAUUUCACUACACUCUGUUAUCUAGGCUAAGUGUAGGGGUGAGGAAGUAGAGUCAAUCAAUACUGGUAUCAGGUUGGAAUUAGUGAAUGCUUUAACGCAGUACAUAUAAUUUCUGAUUUCCAUUUGUAAACUGA